GUGCCAGCCGCCGCGGUAAUACCAGCCCCGCGAGUGGUUGGGACGUUUACUAGGCCUAAAGCGCCUGUAGCCGGCCCUGUAAGUCCCUCCCUAAAGGCCCGGGCUCAACCCGGGAACCGGGAGGGAUACUGCAGGGCUAGGGGGCGGGAGAGGCGGGGGGUACUCCCGGAGUAGGGGCGAAAUCCGUAGAUCCCGGGAGGACCACCAGUGGCGAAGGCGCCCCGCUAGAACGCGCCCGACGGUGAGAGGCGAAAGCCGGGGCAGCAAACGGGAUUAGAUACCCCGGUAGUCCCGGCUGUAAACGAUGCGGGCUAGGUGUCGCGUGGGCUUAGAGCCCACGCGGUGCCGCAGGGAAGCCGUUAAGCCGGCCGCCUGGGGAGUACGGCCGCAAGGCUGAAACUUAAAGGAAUAGGCGGGGGAGCACCACAAGGGGUGGAACCUGCGGCUCAAUUGGAGUCAACACCUGGAAGCUUACCGGGGGAGACCGCAGGAUGACGGCCAGGCUAACGACCUUGCCUGACUCGCGGAGAGGAGGUGCAUGGCCGUCGCCAGUUCGUGUUGUGAAAUGUCCGGUUAAGUCCGGCAACGAGCGAGACCC
This 598-nucleotide ribosomal RNA is filed under the name uncultured archaeon. RNAcentral describes it as "SSU rRNA". It matches the Rfam family "Archaeal small subunit ribosomal RNA", at positions 455 to 1053 of the family's 1478-position model. The record is from RNAcentral.